CUAAUUCAUUGCUUUUGAAUAGUUUCCUAGGUCCAUUUCACUACUCUAGACAUGUUAGGAUGUUCACAUAAGUUAAAAUAAGUGUACAUUAGGUUUGGUUGCAAAUUCUCACCUUUUAAGCACACUUUUUAGAUUCCAACUACUCAAAUUUUGAGUUCUGCCUAAUUCUUUGCUUUUGAAUAGUUUCCUAGGUCCAUUUNACUACUNUAGACAUGUUAGGAUGUUCCCAUAAGUUAAAAUAAGUGUACACUAGGUCUGGUUGCAAAUUCUCACCUUUUAAGCACACUUUUUAGGUUCCAACUACUCAAAUUUUGAGUCCUGCCUAAUUCUUUGCUUUUGACCACAUUCCUACCUUUAUUAGACUAAGUUAGACUUGUUAGGAUGUUUACAUACCUUAGAAUAAGUCUACAUUAGGUGAAUUGACCAUUUUUGACCUUAAAACUUCACUUUUUAGGUACUUAAGAGUCAAAUUUUGAGUUUGACCUUAUUCUUUGCUUUUGCCCACUUUCCUACCUUUAUUAGACUAAGUUAGACUUGUUAGGAUGUUUACAUACAUUAGAAUAAGUCUACAUUAGGUGAAUUGACCAUUUUUGACCUUAAAAGUUCACUUUUUAGGUACUUAAGAGUCAAAUUUCGAGUUUGACCUUAUUCUUUG
RNAcentral lists this long non-coding RNA (655 nucleotides) under Vigna radiata. RNAcentral describes it as "long non-coding RNA (VRAD_LNC011287)". The record is from RNAcentral. Lineage: Eukaryota; Viridiplantae; Streptophyta; Magnoliopsida; Fabales; Fabaceae.